GUGGCUCAGUCGUUAAUAGUAUAUGUAUUUUUAAUACGAUGUUGCUCGUCUUUGUAUUGUUUUUUUUUUUGUUUUGUUUUUUUUUUGCAAUGGCGUCAUCAGUUUGUUCGAUUUUACAGUUUGAACAACCUUUGGUAUCUUUAGUCUAUCCUAUGCAAUUGUCCUUCCUAUGUAUAUUUUAAUUUAUUUAACCGUUUAACUGUUUAUUCAAAAUACACUCAGACGCAGAUUUCCUGCGUAAUAGGAGCGACAAAUACACAUUCAUUUAACAAAUAACAUAGAAGUGAAAUAAGUAGAAUACAUACAAUAAAACAUUUU
RNAcentral lists this long non-coding RNA (318 nucleotides) under Mytilus galloprovincialis (Mediterranean mussel). The record is from RNAcentral. Lineage: Eukaryota; Metazoa; Mollusca; Bivalvia; Mytilida; Mytilidae.